This 253-nucleotide ribosomal RNA is filed under the name uncultured bacterium. Its description in RNAcentral is "partial 16S ribosomal RNA". It matches the Rfam family "Bacterial small subunit ribosomal RNA", at positions 524 to 776 of the family's 1533-position model. The record is from RNAcentral.
UACGAAGGGGGCGAGCGUUGUUCGGAUUUACUGGGCGUAAAGGGCGCGUAGGCGGUAGCACAAGUCAGUUGUGAAAUCUCCGGGCUUAACUCGGAAAGGUCAACUGAUACUGUGCGACUAGAGUGCAGAAGGGGCAACUGGAAUUCUCGGUGUAGCGGUGAAAUGCGUAGAUAUCGAGAGGAACACCUGCGGCGAAGGCGGGUUGCUGGGCUGACACUGACGCUGAGGCGCGAAAGCCAGGGGAGCGAACGGG